Molecule: long non-coding RNA, 623 nt
Filed under: Homo sapiens (human)
Lineage: Eukaryota; Metazoa; Chordata; Mammalia; Primates; Hominidae
Description: HSALNT0296234
Source: RNAcentral
GAUGCUGCAAGUAUGUAGAAAAAAGAUAUACUGUUUAUAAAGAACCACCUUCUUCAAAAUUCACAAGUAUAGGGAAUUAAAUAUCUUUGGCUUUGUAAACCUUUGCUGUGUGCAUGGGCCCCAUCUUGUUCUUCCUUUGGGGACAUCUGUUUUGCUUCUUCUCCUCUCACAUGUAUGUACAGAGUGGACAGUCACGGGACAGUCUUUAGAGUAUUGUCCUCUUGGAGUUCCUGAGCAGGACAUCAAGCUGAGGCCUGUCAAGCCCUGGGCCUGUUAAAGAAAUCGUGGAUGAUGACAAUAUGAAUUUGAGCAAAAGAUAUCCUCAGAGGAAAAAAAUGGGCUAAUUUUGUCACAUGUGUAAGAUUGCUUUCCUCAGCAAUCUGUGGCUGACACUCCCAGAAUCUUCCCACCACCCCACUACACAUCCACUUCUGACUGACAUAUCUUUGUUUGCCUUUCUUUCCUUCCUUCCUUCCUUCCUUCCUUUCCUUCCUUCCUUCUUCCUUCUUUCUUUCUUUCUUCUUGAUGGAGUUUCAUUCUUUUGCCCAGGCUGGAGUGAAGUGAUGCAAUCUUGGCUCACUGCAACCUCCACCCCCUGAGUUCAACUGAUUCUCCUGCCUCAG